GCAAACUUGGUCAUUUAGAGGAAGUAAAAGUCGUAACAAGGUCUCCGUUGGUGAACCAGCGGAGGGAUCAUUACCGAGUUUACAACUCCCAUACCCAUGUGAACCUUACCUAUCGUUGCUUCGGCGGGAUGGCCCCGGGCGCCCAGCGCGCCCCGGAACCAGGCGCCCGCCGGGGGACUUACAAACUCUGUUUCUUACAGCGGUCUCUUCUGAGUGGAUUAUCACAAUAAUCAAAACUUUCAACAACGGAUCUCUUGGUUCUGGCAUCGAUGAAGAACGCAGC
RNAcentral lists this unclassified non-coding RNA (283 nucleotides) under uncultured fungus. Its description in RNAcentral is "partial contains small subunit ribosomal RNA, internal transcribed spacer 1, and 5.8S ribosomal RNA". The stretch from base 1 to 73 matches the Rfam family "Eukaryotic small subunit ribosomal RNA", at positions 1759 to 1831 of the family's 1831-position model. The record is from RNAcentral. Lineage: Eukaryota; Fungi.